CCCGGGCCUUGUACACACCGCCCGUCACACCACGAAAGUCGGUAACACCCGAAGCCAGUGGCCCAACCCUUUUGGGAGGGAGCUGUCGAAGGUGGGAUCAGCGAUUGGGGUG
RNAcentral lists this ribosomal RNA (112 nucleotides) under uncultured bacterium. RNAcentral describes it as "partial 16S ribosomal RNA". It matches the Rfam family "Bacterial small subunit ribosomal RNA", at positions 1373 to 1482 of the family's 1533-position model. The record is from RNAcentral.